GCUGGGCACGGUGGCAGGUGCCUGUAAUCCCAGCUACUUGGGAGGCUGAGGCAAGAGAAUGGCUUGAACCCAGGAGGUGGAGGUUGCAGUGAGCCGAGAUCACACCACUGCACUCCAGCCUGGGUAACAGAGCCAGACUCUGUCUCAA
This is an unclassified non-coding RNA of Macaca mulatta (Rhesus monkey), 148 nucleotides long. It matches the Rfam family "Metazoan signal recognition particle RNA". From Rfam's summary of the family: The signal recognition particle (SRP) is a universally conserved ribonucleoprotein. It is involved in the co-translational targeting of proteins to membranes. NCBI's taxonomy places the organism in Eukaryota, Metazoa, Chordata, Mammalia, Primates, Cercopithecidae. The record is from Ensembl.